AAUCUCUGUGUUCAUACUCCACUAUGUUAUCAAAGACGAAAAAUGGUUAAGAGUUGUCCAGAUUGUGUACCUCAGCAUUUGCUGCAUGUUUAUGAAAACUGUCGUCUUUUCACACCAUUGUGCAGAAGAAGAAAACGAUACUCCUGCCCUCCAUGUAUACCUAUUUCUAUGACGGAUUAUUACGAAUCCAUUAAUUCGUGCCUUGAAAAACCUAUUUGUGCAAGAAAUGGUCCUCAAAGACUGAUUUGACGGUUUCUCUUCAAGAUAUGUGCGUGAAAAAGGAUGCAAGAAUGAAUAUACAUUAUACAGUAGAAAGAUAUUUGAAUUGACUGGCAUUGUCAACGAUUUAUUAAGUUUUUGAAAUCUACAAAAUUAAUUAUUAUUUGCAUCUAUGUAAACAAUUUUGAUGGCAAUAAAAUUAUAACGAUUAUUUCUAUGAAAA
Xenia sp. Carnegie-2017 is the source of this 442-nucleotide long non-coding RNA. RefSeq lists it as uncharacterized. The transcript has 2 exons. The record is from RefSeq and is a predicted model, not a curated record. NCBI's taxonomy places the organism in Eukaryota, Metazoa, Cnidaria, Anthozoa, Malacalcyonacea, Xeniidae.